CGAACGGGUGAGUAACACGUGAGCAACCUGCCUUUCAGUGGGGGACAACAUUUGGAAACGAAUGCUAAUACCGCAUAAGACCACAGUGUCGCAUGGCACAGGGGUCAAAGGAUUUAUCCGCUGAAAGAUGGGCUCGCGUCCGAUUAGCUAGAUGGUGAGGUAACGGCCCACCCAUGGCGACGAUCGGUAGCCGGACUGAGAGGUUGAACGGCCACAUUGGGACUGAGACACGGCCCAGACUCCUACGGGAGGCAGCAU
This 258-nucleotide ribosomal RNA is filed under the name uncultured bacterium. RNAcentral describes it as "partial 16S ribosomal RNA". It matches the Rfam family "Bacterial small subunit ribosomal RNA", at positions 99 to 353 of the family's 1533-position model. The record is from RNAcentral.